AGCAGCCGCGGUAAUUCCAGCUCCAAUAGCGUAUAUUAAAGUUGUUGCAGUUAAAAAGCUCGUAGUUGAACCUUGGGCCUGGCUGGCCGGUCCGCCUCACCGCGUGCACUGGAUCCGGCCGGGCCUUUCCUCCCGGGGAACCGCAUGCCCUUCACUGGGCGUGUCGAGGAACCGGGACGUUUACUUUGAAAAAAUUAGAGUGCUCAAAGCAGGCCUUCGCUCGGAUACAUUAGCACGGAAUAAUAGAAUAGGACGCUGCGGUUCUAUUUUGUUGGUUUCUAGAACCGCCGUAAUGAUUAAUAGGGACAGUCGGGGAGACUGGUAUUCAAUUGUCAGAGGUGAAAUUCUUGGAUUUAUUGAAGACCAACUACUGCGAAAGCAUUUCUCAAGGAUGUUUUCAUUAAUCAGUGAACGAAAGUUAGGGGAUCGAAGACGAUCAGAUACCGUCGUAGUCUUAACCAUAAACUAUG
Molecule: ribosomal RNA, 470 nt
Filed under: uncultured fungus
Lineage: Eukaryota; Fungi
Description: SSU rRNA
Rfam family: Eukaryotic small subunit ribosomal RNA
Source: RNAcentral